This 408-nucleotide ribosomal RNA is filed under the name uncultured bacterium. RNAcentral's name for it is "partial 16S ribosomal RNA". It matches the Rfam family "Bacterial small subunit ribosomal RNA", at positions 28 to 526 of the family's 1533-position model. The record is from RNAcentral.
GACGAACGCUGGCGGCGUGCUUAACACAUGCAAGUCGAACGAAGUGGCGAACGGGUGAGUAACGCGUAAUCAACCUGCCCUUCAGAGGGGGACAACAGUUGGAAACGACUGCUAAUACCGCAUACUGAAGGAGGGGAUUGCGUCUGAUUAGCUAGUUGGAGGGGUAACGGGCCACCAAGGCGAUGAUCAGUAGCCGGUCUGAGAGGAGGAACGGCCAAAAUGGGACUGAGAAACGGCCCAGACUCCUAAGGGAGGCAGCAGGGGGGAAUCGUCCGAAAUGGACGAAAGUCUGACGGAGCAACGCCGGGUGAGGGAUGACGGCCUUCGGGUUGUAAAGCUCUGUUAAUCGGGACGCGGUAUCUAACCAGAAAGCCACGGCUAACUACGUGCCAGCAGCCGCGGUAAUUC